This 130-nucleotide ribosomal RNA is filed under the name Flavobacteriales bacterium. RNAcentral's name for it is "partial 16S ribosomal RNA". It matches the Rfam family "Bacterial small subunit ribosomal RNA", at positions 1 to 119 of the family's 1533-position model. Lineage: Bacteria; Pseudomonadati; Bacteroidota; Flavobacteriia; Flavobacteriales. The record is from RNAcentral.
UUAUACAAUGAAGAGUUUGAUCCUGGCUCAGGAUGAACGCUAGCGGCAGGCCUAACACAUGCAAGUCGAGGGGUAACAGAGAGAAGCUUGCUUUUCUGCUGACGACCGGCGCACGGGUGCGUAACGCGUA